RNAcentral lists this ribosomal RNA (649 nucleotides) under Poa yaganica. RNAcentral's name for it is "eukaryotic LSU rRNA". The stretch from base 264 to 422 matches the Rfam family "5.8S ribosomal RNA". Lineage: Eukaryota; Viridiplantae; Streptophyta; Magnoliopsida; Poales; Poaceae. The record is from RNAcentral.
UAACAAGGUUUCCGUAGGUGAACCUGCGGAAGGAUCAUUGUCGUGACCCUGACCAAAACAGACCGUGAACGCGUCAUCUUGCCUGCCAGCGGCGGCCCUGNCCGUCGCUUGGCCAAAGUCCUCGAUAACCUCCUCUCCUCGGAGCGGGGGCUCGGGGUAAAAGAACCCACGGCGCCGAAGGCGUCAAGGAACACUGUGCCUAACCCGGGGAAGCGGCUGGCUUGCUAGCUGCCCCUCGUGUUGCAAUGCUAUUUAAUCCACACGACUCUCGGCAACNGGAUAUCUCGGCUCUCGCAUCGAUGAAGNAACGUAGCGAAAUGCGAUACCUGGUGUGNAAUUGCAGAAUCCCGCGAACCAUCGAGUCUUUGAACGCAAGUUGCGCCCGAGGCCACUUGGCCGAGGGCACGCCUGCCUGGGCGUCACGCCAAACACGCUCCCACCCCUCAUCGGGUGGUGGGAUGCGGCAUGUGGCUCCCCGUCUUUCAAGAGGCGGUGGGCUGAAGAUGCGGCUGCCGGCGUAUCGUGCCGGACACAGCGCGUGGUGGGCGAACUCGCUUUACUUACCGCAGUGCAUCCGGCCCAUAGCCGACGUGAUGGCCUUAAGGACCCUAUGAACGGAGCGCAUGACUCUCCGACCGCGACCCCAGGU